AUUGAACGCUGGCGGCAGGCUUAACACAUGCAAGUCGAACGGUAGCAGGAGAAAGCUUGCUUUCUUGCUGACGAGUGGCGGACGGGUGAGUAAUACUUGGGAAUCUGGCUUAUGGAGGGGGAUAACUACGGGAAACUGUAGCUAAUACCGCGUAGUAUCGUAAGAUGAAAGUGCGGGACCGCAAGGCCGCAUGCCAUGGGAUGAGCCCAAGUGGGAUUAGGUAGUUGGUGGGGUAAAGGCCUACCAAGCCUGCGAUCUCUAGCUGGUCUGAGAGGAUGGUCAGCCACACUGGAACUGAGACACGGUCCAGACUCCUACGGGAGGCAGCAGUGGGGAAUAUUGCGCAAUGGGGGGAACCCUGACGCAGCCAUGCCGCGUGAAUGAAGAAGGCCUUCGGGUUGUAAAGUUCUUUCGGUAUUGAGGAAGGAGUGUAUGUUAAUAGCAUACAUUAUUGACGUUAAAUACAGAAGAAGCACCGGCUAACUCCGUGCCAGCAGCCGCGGUAAUACGGAGGGUGCGAGCGUUAAUCGGAAUAACUGGGCGUAAAGGGCACGCAGGCGGUUAUUUAAGUGAGGUGUGAAAGCCCCGGGCUUAACCUGGGAAUUGCAUUUCAGACUGGGUAACUAGAGUACUUUAGGGAGGGGUAGAAUUCCACGUGUAGCGGUGAAAUGCGUAGAGAUGUGGAGGAAUACCGAAGGCGAAGGCAGCCCCUUGGGAAUGUACUGACGCUCAUGUGCGAAAGCGUGGGGAGCAAACAGG
RNAcentral lists this ribosomal RNA (759 nucleotides) under uncultured Haemophilus sp. Its description in RNAcentral is "bacterial SSU rRNA". It matches the Rfam family "Bacterial small subunit ribosomal RNA", at positions 28 to 776 of the family's 1533-position model. Lineage: Bacteria; Pseudomonadati; Pseudomonadota; Gammaproteobacteria; Pasteurellales; Pasteurellaceae. The record is from RNAcentral.